AGUGGCGCACGGGUGAGUAACACGUAGCUCACUUGCCCUCAGGUGCGGGAUAACGUUUCGAAAGGGACGCUAAAACCGCAUAAGCUCACGAGUUGCAGAGACUUGAGAGAAAAGAUUUAUCGCCUGAGGAGAGGGCUGCGGCCUAUCAGGUAGUUGGUGGGGUAAUGGCCUACCAAGCCGACGACGGGUAGGGGGCCUGAGAGGGUGGUCCCCCACACUGGGACUGAGACACGGCCCAGACUCCUACGGGAGGCAGCAGUAAGGAAUAUUGCUCAAUGGGCGCAAGCCUGAAGCAGCGACGCCGCGUGGGCGAUGAAGGUCUUCGGAUCGUAAAGCCCUUUUUUAGGUGACGAGAACGGACGGUAGCCUAAGAAUAAGUCUCGGCUAACUACGUGCCAGCCGCCGCGGUAA
RNAcentral lists this ribosomal RNA (411 nucleotides) under uncultured bacterium. Its description in RNAcentral is "bacterial SSU rRNA". It matches the Rfam family "Bacterial small subunit ribosomal RNA", at positions 94 to 523 of the family's 1533-position model. The record is from RNAcentral.